AAAUUGAAGAGUUUGAUCAUGGCUCAGAUUGAACGCUGGCGGCAGGCCUAACACAUGCAAGUCGAACGGUAGCACAGAGAGCUUGCUCUCGGGUGACGAGUGGCGGACGGGUGAGUAAUGUCUGGGAAACUGCCUGAUGGAGGGGGAUAACUACUGGAAACGGUGGCUAAUACCGCAUAACGUCGCAAGACCAAAGAGGGGGACCUUCGGGCCUCUUGCCAUCAGAUGUGCCCAGAUGGGAUUAGCUUGUUGGUGAGGUAACGGCUCACCAAGGCGACGAUCCCUAGCUGGUCUGAGAGGAUGACCAGCCACACUGGAACUGAGACACGGUCCAGACUCCUACGGGAGGCAGCAGUGGGGAAUAUUGCACAAUGGGCGCAAGCCUGAUGCAGCCAUGCCGCGUGUAUGAAGAAGGCCUUCGGGUUGUAAAGUACUUUCAGCGGGGAGGAAGGUGUUGUGGUUAAUAACCACAGCAAUUGACGUUACCCGCAGAAGAAGCACCGGCUAACUCCGUGCCAGCAGCCGCGGUAAUACGGAGGGUGCAAGCGUUAAUCGGAAUUACUGGGCGUAAAGCGCACGCAGGCGGUCUGUCAAGUCGGAUGUGAAAUCCCCGGGCUCAACCUGGGAACUGCAUUCGAAACUGGCAGGCUUGAGUCUUGUAGAGGGGGGUAGAAUUCCAGGUGUAGCGGUGAAAUGCGUAGAGAUCUGGAGGAAUACCGGUGGCGAAGGCGGCCCCCUGGACAAAGACUGACGCUCAGGUGCGAAAGCGUGGGGAGCAAACAGGAUUAGAUACCCUGGUAGUCCACGCCGUAAACGAUGUCUACUUGGAGGUUGUGCCCUUGAGGCGUGGCUUCCGGAGCUAACGCGUUAAGUAGACCGCCUGGGGAGUACGGCCGCAAGGUUAAAACUCAAAUGAAUUGACGGGGGCCCGCACAAGCGGUGGAGCAUGUGGUUUAAUUCGAUGCAACGCGAAGAACCUUACCUGGUCUUGACAUCCACAGAACUUUCCAGAGAUGGAUUGGUGCCUUCGGGAACUGUGAGACAGGUGCUGCAUGGCUGUCGUCAGCUCGUGUUGUGAAAUGUUGGGUUAAGUCCCGCAACGAGCGCAACCCUUAUCCUUUGUUGCCAGCGGUCCGGCCGGGAACUCAAAGGAGACUGCCAGUGAUAAACUGGAGGAAGGUGGGGAUGACGUCAAGUCAUCAUGGCCCUUACGACCAGGGCUACACACGUGCUACAAUGGCGCAUACAAAGAGAAGCGACCUCGCGAGAGCAAGCGGACCUCAUAAAGUGCGUCGUAGUCCGGAUUGGAGUCUGCAACUCGACUCCAUGAAGUCGGAAUCGCUAGUAAUCGUGGAUCAGAAUGCCACGGUGAAUACGUUCCCGGGCCUUGUACACACCGCCCGUCACACCAUGGGAGUGGGUUGCAAAAGAAGUAGGUAGCUUAACCUUCGGGAGGGCGCUUACCACUUUGUGAUUCAUGACUGGGGUGAAGUCGUAACAAGGUAACCGUAGGGGAACCUGCGGUUGGAUCACCUCCUUACCUUAAAGAAG
This 1551-nucleotide ribosomal RNA is filed under the name Salmonella enterica subsp. enterica serovar Infantis. RNAcentral's name for it is "bacterial SSU rRNA". It matches the Rfam family "Bacterial small subunit ribosomal RNA". Lineage: Bacteria; Pseudomonadati; Pseudomonadota; Gammaproteobacteria; Enterobacterales; Enterobacteriaceae. The record is from RNAcentral.